This 369-nucleotide long non-coding RNA is filed under the name Sus scrofa (pig). RNAcentral's name for it is "lncRNA (ENSSSCG00070023883.1)". The record is from RNAcentral. Lineage: Eukaryota; Metazoa; Chordata; Mammalia; Artiodactyla; Suidae.
AUGCCCCCGAGGGUCAUUUUUCUGCUCGGACUUGUGUUUUGCUGGGACCAAAGGAUUUGGGCACAGACUGAUCUACCUGAAAUCUACCUAAAUCCUCCUGAAAAUGGAUAUCUUCCCAUUGUGAUUGGGACCUCAGCCAUCAGUGUUCUCCCUCUCUUCCUCCUCUUCCUCCUCCUCUGCCAUUGCUGGUGUCGAGCCAAACACAGUGGUGUCUCAGUGGAUAUCGCCUCUGAGGGGGACAGACAGAUGGACAUGGAGGUGAGGCUUUCCUCCUUCCCCCGAGGCCUCCCCCCCCCCGCCCCGUGUUCUCCCCUCACCUUGUAUCUUCUUGCUGACAGGCCCUCCCAGAGGAAGACCCACAGGACGUGA